AGUAAGGAAAAGCAGGUUUUGAUAUACAAACAAUUAAGAACACUUUUAGAGGAAAGAGAUGCAUUUGCUUUUGAAAGAAUGUUAGAACAAUUCUGUAAUAAUUUAUCAGAUCCCGACACUACAGAUUUUAUACUUUAUUUUAAGAACAAUCAUCAAAUAAAUUGCAGUAAUUGGGCUUACUGCUACAGAUUACAUGCAGGGCUCAAUAGAAAUAUGCACCUCGAGAGAAUGCAUAGAACGAUCAAGUAUGUCUAUUUGGGUGGAAAGAAAGUCAAAAGAUUUAUUAGAAACAAACUUAUUGACAGACUUAUUACCAUAAACAAAGGAAAAAUAUCCAGCAAAUUGAAGAACAUCCGUGAUCGUCAUAAGAAUGUUGGAAAAAUUGAUUCUUCUUCCAUUGUAAGCACUGAACAUGGUUGGGAAAUAGCGUCAUCAACCAGCAGUGACAUUUAUUUUUAUUCAAAAAGUAAGGGAGUCUUCCACUUGUCAACUAACUUGUUCUCAGUGUAAAAUUUGCAUCCACAAGUAUUGUUGUUCCUGCCUGAAUUCAGCAAUAAAAUUCAACAUGUGCAAACAUAUGCACUUACUUGCUCAACACAUAAAAGAAUAUGCAAAUUCCAGAUCUCCAAUAAUGGCUACCAAGGAUACCAUGGAAGAUGAGGACAACAAUUUAUAUAUCCACUGUGAUCAAAAAAAUGACCAGACAGACGUAAUUCUUAGCCAACUAUCAAAGAAAAAGAAAGCAAAUUUAUCAAUACAAGAUAGACAAGUAGCAAUAAUGGAUAAAUUUCAUAAAAUUCUUUAUGGCGACAUGUCUAACGAAAAACUAGACAUAAUCGAAAAAAUGGUUGAUUCUCUUUCACCUACCUUGGCUGCUACAGACCAUUUAAAAGAAGUUGUGUUGCCAUCGUGUAGUAAGAAGAUUGUCCACAAUCAGAAUAUAACGGCACAGAGACGAUUAUGGUCAACAAAAAAAAAGUCAAGACGUCUCAAAAAACCUUCCACCAUGGAAGCCCAAAAACUUGCUUUAAAUAUUUUGUUAUCUGAUAAUAAAUAAAUAGAAACAAUAAAACAUA
Long non-coding RNA from Anthonomus grandis grandis, 1076 nucleotides. RefSeq lists it as uncharacterized. The transcript has 3 exons. The record is from RefSeq and is a predicted model, not a curated record. NCBI's taxonomy places the organism in Eukaryota, Metazoa, Arthropoda, Insecta, Coleoptera, Curculionidae.